RNAcentral lists this small nuclear RNA (252 nucleotides) under Erinaceus europaeus (western European hedgehog). RNAcentral describes it as "7SK RNA". It matches the Rfam family "7SK RNA". Rfam says of the family: 7SK was discovered as an abundant small nuclear RNA in the mid-70s but a possible function has only recently been suggested. Two independent studies have found that 7SK RNA binds the CDK9/cyclin T complex (known as elongation factor P-TEFb). P-TEFb activates transcription by phosphorylating the C-terminal domain of RNA polymerase II. The record is from Rfam by way of RNAcentral. Lineage: Eukaryota; Metazoa; Chordata; Mammalia; Eulipotyphla; Erinaceidae.
GGAUGUGAGGGCGAUCUGGUUGUGACAUCUGUCACCCCACUGAUCACCAGGGUUGAUUCGGCUGAUCUGGCUGGCUAGGCGGGUGUCCCCUUCCUCCCUCACUGCUGUGCGCUCAGUCGAAGAGGACGACCUUCCCCAAAUAGAAACGGUCCCGUGCUAGAACCUCCAAACAAGCUCAAGGGGGAAAAUCAGGGCUGGACGGUGACACACUCUGCACUAGGAUGUGGGUUCAAUCCCACAGUUUCUAGCUGC